This 1624-nucleotide long non-coding RNA is filed under the name Calidris pugnax (ruff). Its description in RNAcentral is "lncRNA (ENSCPUG00000015320.1)". Lineage: Eukaryota; Metazoa; Chordata; Aves; Charadriiformes; Scolopacidae. The record is from RNAcentral.
UCAGUGGCAAAAGGAAAGGAGGGGAACUAGAGAACAACUAGAAAUGCAGCUUUUGUCAAAAACAUUUAAUUAAAAUGCAAUUUUAAAAAUUAUUCACAGCAAAUGCAGCAAAUAAGAAGUGACUUAGAUGUUUUUCACAGCAAAGCAGUGCUUUUCCAUUUUUCAGAGAUCCCAGUAAGUAUUAUCAACCCAUUUUCCACCCUAGGACACUGAGAAAUCACAGUCAUACGCAAAUUCUGUGAGAGGAAUAUAAGUCAGACCACCAUUUUCUGAAAUGUAUGCCUUCUCCAGCUGUAUUCUCCCGAGUACUACUGUUCUUGCUUGUAACUGAUGAUCAUUACUUAUUUUCCCAGUCACUGUAACACCCCUGGAGAGACCUUCACUGAGCUUAAAUGCCUGGGGACGUACAGGUGGAGAGAAACAGAUUGGUCCUGGUACAUCAGCUCAUCACAUCGGUCUCCGUAUUCAACUGUGGACAGUAUCUGGAGCUGCAGAAGGUAUAAAUUACUCGGGACAAUGACACUUCUGCCCCACAAGCCCAUGCUGACCAAGAUCCUGGUGCCAGGGUGGUCAGUGUGUGUGCUGCCUGGGAGCUGCACAUUUAUUUGAAGAGGAAGAAGCUCCUCUGAUGGGUCUGCUCACCCACAGUCUAGUCAGUGCUAAAAUAAGCACAGCUGUGUUGUCCACCAUCCACAGCUGCACCUUCUGCAGCAUCUUCCACAGAUGAGGCAGCGGCAGCCCCACGGAUGAGCCAGCAUGACCCACACACCAGCCUCAGAGACAACAGCUAUAGGUACUGAUGAGCUGUUGCAUCAAGGAGGUCAUUUGCUUUCAGUUAGUCCUGUAUAAACCACGUCAUUCAGCUGAUAUAACUCCUCUGCCACACAUUCUCUUUCUCUUGUCUCUCACACUGGGCACCCAGAUUUGAGGACUGCACCCCAAGCCACGGCCAGUGUCACCCACCAAGGCAAGCACAGCCCUUCGUGGUGGCCGUGCUUUGCUGCAGCCACAGCCUGUCAUCCUCUGAGACAGCUUUAGCCAGAUAAAAACCUUGUUUAGGCUUUCUCUAUAGACUGGAGGAGUAGGAGGGGAAAAUGCCUCCAGAGAGUAAUUAAUUGUAAGCCUGCCUUUUAAAUUGGUAAAUAUCUGUAAGCUCUGGGAAAGGCUGAUGGUCUCUGACUAACCAGAGGAAACUGCUGAGAGUGGGAACUUUUUCUCUUUUUUUUUGGCAGUGGCCUUGUCUCUCUGGUCCACUUAUUACCUUUAUAACCCUAAAACCAAAGAGGUGCUGUCAUCCCUUCUUCUCAGAUGGGGCAGAUAUAAUGUGGCUUCUUUACCAGAGCCCCUCAUGACUUUAUUGGAAAAGCAGGGAGUUUUGAGCUCUGCUCUCCUGAGCCCUGAGGAAAGGCACAAAAGCCCAGCCUUUUGUCAAUUCCUAAACUGGGAACACACCAGAAAAAUAUAAGAAAAAAAAAAAAAACCAACCCAAAAAGCUACAGCAACAUCUCUCGAGCCUCUAAAGGCUCAUAGUUAGCAAUUAUCUUACAAAGGCUUACUUCAAAAGUAAUUUAUUAUUUUAUUAGCUGUUUGCUGAGAGAUCAAAUAAAUCCAAGGUGCCUAGUCA